Molecule: ribosomal RNA, 474 nt
Filed under: uncultured bacterium
Lineage: Bacteria
Description: bacterial SSU rRNA
Rfam family: Bacterial small subunit ribosomal RNA
Source: RNAcentral
ACUCCUACGGGAGGCAGCAGUAGGGAAUCUUCCACAAUGGGCGCAAGCCUGAUGGAGCAACACCGCGUGAGUGAAGAAGGGUUUCGGCUCGUAAAGCUCUGUUGUUAAAGAAGAACACGUAUGAGAGUAACUGUUCAUACGUUGACGGUAUUUAACCAGAAAGUCACGGCUAACUACGUGCCAGCAGCCGCGGUAAUACGUAGGUGGCAAGCGUUAUCCGGAUUUAUUGGGCGUAAAGAGAGUGCAGGCGGUUUUCUAAGUCUGAUGUGAAAGCCUUCGGCUUAACCGGAGAAGUGCAUCGGAAACUGGAUAACUUGAGUGCAGAAGAGGGUAGUGGAACUCCAUGUGUAGCGGUGGAAUGCGUAGAUAUAUGGAAGAACACCAGUGGCGAAGGCGGCUACCUGGUCUGCAACUGACGCUGAGACUCGAAAGCAUGGGUAGCGAACAGGAUUAGAUACCCCUGGUAGGAUAGCG